AGAGUUUGAUCCUGGCUCAGGACGAACGCUGGCGGCGUGCUUAACACAUGCAAGUCGAACGAAGAGCGAUGGAAGCUUGCUUCUAUCAAUCUUAGUGGCGAACGGGUGAGUAACGCGUAAUCAACCUGCCCUUCAGAGGGGGACAACAGUUGGAAACGACUGCUAAUACCGCAUACGAUCUAACCUUGGCAUCGAGGAUGGAUGAAAGGUGGCCUCUACAUGUAAGCUAUCACUGAAGGAGGGGAUUGCGUCUGAUUAGCUAGUUGGAGGGGUAACGGCCCACCAAGGCGAUGAUCAGUAGCCGGUCUGAGAGGAUGAACGGCCACAUUGGGACUGAGACACGGCCCAAACUCCUACGGGAGGCUGCAGUGGGGAAUCUUCCGCAAUGGACGAAAGUCUGACGGAGCAACGCCGCGUGAGUGAUGACGGCCUUCGGGUUGUAAAGCUCUGUUAAUCGGGACGAAAGGCCUUCUUGCGAAUAGUGAGAAGGAUUGACGGUACCGGAAUAGAAAGCCACGGCUAACUACGUGCCAGCAGCCGCGGUAAUACGUAGGUGGCAAGCGUUGUCCGGAAUUAUUGGGCGUAAAGCGCGCGCAGGCGGAUAGGUCAGUCUGUCUUAAAAGUUCGGGGCUUAACCCCGUGAUGGGAUGGAAACUGCCAAUCUAGAGUAUCGGAGAGGAAAGUGGAAUUCCUAGUGUAGCGGUGAAAUGCGUAGAUAUAUAUGGAAGAACACCAGUGGCGAAGGCGGCUGUCUGGUCUGUAACUGACGCUGAGGCUCGAAAGCAUGGGUAGCGAACAGGAUUAGAUACCCUGGUAGUCCACGCCGUAAACGGUGGAUGCUGGAUGUGGGGCCCGUUCCACGGGUUCCGUGUCGGAGCUAACGCAUAAGCAUUCCGCCUGGGGAGUACGACCGCAAGGUUGAAACUCAAAGGAAUUGACGGGGGCCCGCACAAGCAGCGGAGCAUGUGGUUUAAUUCGAAGCAACGCGAAGAACCUUACCAGGGCUUGACAUCCUGCUGACAGGACCUUAACCGGUCCCUUCUUCGGACAGCAGAGACAGGUGGUGCAUGGUUGUCGUCAGCUCGUGCCGUGAGAUGUUGGGUUAAGUCCCGCAACGAGCGCAACCCUUGUCGCUAGUUACUAACAUUCAGUUGAGGACUCUAGCGAGACUGCCGAGGUCAACUCGGAGGAAGGUGGGGAUGACGUCAAAUCAUCAUGCCCCUUAUGUUCUGGGCUACACACGUGCUACAAUGGUCGGUACAAUGAGAGGCAAUACUGUGAAGUGGAGCAAAUCACCAAAACCGAUCCCAGUUCGGAUUGUAGGCUGCAACUCGCCUACAUGAAGUUGGAGUUGCUAGUAAUCGCAGAUCAGAAUGCUGCGGUGAAUGCGUUCCCAGGUCUUGUACACACCGCCCGUCACACCAUGGAAGUUGGGGGUGCCCAAAGUCGGUUAAUUAAUCUAUCGCCUAAGGCAAAACCAAUGACUGGGGUGAAGUCGUAACAAGGUAACC
Molecule: ribosomal RNA, 1511 nt
Filed under: human gut metagenome
Description: bacterial SSU rRNA
Rfam family: Bacterial small subunit ribosomal RNA
Source: RNAcentral